Molecule: ribosomal RNA, 869 nt
Filed under: uncultured bacterium
Lineage: Bacteria
Description: bacterial SSU rRNA
Rfam family: Bacterial small subunit ribosomal RNA
Source: RNAcentral
UUAAGAGUAGAGAACAUUAGUUAUCUAUUUUUAUGGGGAGCGGCGGACGGCUGAGUAACGCGUAGGAACGUACCCCAAAGUGAGGGAUAACCACUCGAAAGAGUGACUAAUACCGCAUAUGGUCUUCGGAUUAAAGCAGCAAUGCGCUAUGGGAACGGCCUGCGUCGGAUUAGGUUGUUGGUGAGGUAAUGGCUCACCAAGCCGACGAUCCGUAACUGGUCUGAGAGGAUGAUCAGCCAGACUGGAACUGAGACACGGUCCAGACUCCUACGGGAGGCAGCAGUUAGGAAUCUUCCACAAUGGGGGCAACCCUGAUGGAGCAACACCGCGUGCUGGAUGAAGGCCUUCGGGUCGUAAACAGCUUUUGUAUACGAAGAAUAUGACGGUAAUAUACGAAUAAGGGUCGGCUAACUACGUGCCAGCAGCCGCGGUCAUACGUAGGACCCAAGCGUUAUCCGGAGUGACUGGGCGUAAAGAGUUGCGUAGGCGGCUUAUUAAGUGGAUAGUGAAAGCUGGUGGCUCAACCAUUCAGUCUAUUAUCCAAACUGGUAAGCUCGAGAAUGGUAGAGGUAGCUGGAAUUUCUUGUGUAGGAGUGAAAUCCGUAGAUAUAAGAAGGAACACCAAUGGCGUAGGCAGGCUACUGGACCAUUUCUGACGCUGAGGCACGAAAGCGUGGGGAGCGAACCGGAUUAGAUACCCGGGUAGUCCACGCCGUAAACGAUGGAUGCUAGCUGUGGGGGGUAUCGACCCCCUCCGUAGCGAAGCUAACGCGUUAAGCAUCCCGCCUGUGGAGUACGGCCGCAAGGCUAAAACAUAAAGGAAUUGACGGGGACCCGCACAAGCGGUGGAGCGUGUUCUUUAAUUCGAU